RNAcentral lists this ribosomal RNA (809 nucleotides) under uncultured bacterium. RNAcentral's name for it is "bacterial SSU rRNA". It matches the Rfam family "Bacterial small subunit ribosomal RNA", at positions 8 to 796 of the family's 1533-position model. The record is from RNAcentral.
AGAGUUUGAUCAUGGCUCAGAAUCAACGCUGGCGGCGUGCCUAACACAUGCAAGUCGAACGCGAAAGGGGCUUCGGCCCUGAGUAGAGUGGCGAACGGGUGAGUAACACGUGGGUGAUCUACCUUUCAGUGGGGGAUAACGUUCCGAAAGGAGCGCUAAUACCGCAUGACGUCCUGGGUUUGAAGGCCUGGAGACCAAAGUCGGGGACCGCAAGGCCUGACGCUGAAGGAGGAGCCCGCGCCUGAUUAGCUAGUUGGUGGGGUAAUGGCCUACCAAGGCGACGAUCAGUAGCCGGCCUGAGAGGGCGGACGGCCACACUGGGACUGAGACACGGCCCAGACUCCUACGGGAGGCAGCAGUGGGGAAUUGUUCGCAAUGGGCGCAAGCCUGACGACGCAACGCCGCGUGGAGGAUGACGGUCUUCGGAUUGUAAACUCCUGUUGAUCGGGAAGAAUGGCCCUUGGCUGAAUACGCCGAGGGAGUGACGGUACCGAUUGAGGAAGCCACGGCUAACUCUGUGCCAGCAGCCGCGGUAAUACAGAGGUGGCAAGCGUUGUUCGGAAUUACUGGGCGUAAAGGGCGCGUAGGCGGUUGCCUCAGUCGGACGUGAAAUCCCCAAGCUUAACUUGGGAACUGCGUCCGAUACUGGGUGACUUGAGUUCGGGAGAGGAAUGUGGAAUUCCAGGUGUAGCGGUGAAAUGCGUAGAUAUCUGGAGGAACACCGGUGGCGAAGGCGGCAUUCUGGACCGAAACUGACGCUGAGGCGCGAAAGCCAGGGGAGCAAACGGGAUUAGAUACCCCAGUAGUCC